Molecule: ribosomal RNA, 301 nt
Filed under: uncultured bacterium
Lineage: Bacteria
Description: partial 16S ribosomal RNA
Rfam family: Bacterial small subunit ribosomal RNA
Source: RNAcentral
CAGCAGCCGCGGUAAUACGUAGGUCCCGAGCGUUGUCCGGAUUUAUUGGGCGUAAAGCGAGCGCAGGCGGUUAGAUAAGUCUGAAGUUAAAGGCUGUGACUUAACCAUAGUAUGCUUUGGAAACUGUUUAACUUGAGUGCAGAAGGGGAGAGUGGAAUUCCAUGUGUAGCGGUGAAAUGCGUAGAUAUAUGGAGGAACACCGGUGGCGAAAGCGGCUCUCUGGUCUGUAACUGACGCUGAGGCUCGAAAGCGUGGGGAGCAAACAGGAUUAGAUACCCCUGUAGUCCCUGUCUCUUAUACA